Molecule: ribosomal RNA, 486 nt
Filed under: uncultured bacterium
Lineage: Bacteria
Description: partial 16S ribosomal RNA
Rfam family: Bacterial small subunit ribosomal RNA
Source: RNAcentral
AUUGAACGCUGGCGGCAUGCCUUACACAUGCAAGUCGAACGGCCGCACGGGUGCCUUCAUCUGGUGGUGAUUGGCGCACGGGUGAGUGUUACAUCUGGACAUGUCCUGUAUAGGGGUAUAGCCCGUCGAAAGCCGGAUUGAUACUGCAUACGAUCUACGUAUAAAAGCUGGUUCCCUUCUGGCCUCGCGUUUUGCUGUUGGUUGAUGGUUGAUUAGCUAGUUGGUGGGGUAAAGGCCUACCAAGGCGACGAUCAGUAGCUGGUCUGAGAGGACGACCAGCCACACUGGAACUGAGACACGGCCCAGACUCCUACGGGAGGCAGCAGUAGGGAAUUUUGGACAAUGGGCGAAAGCCUGAUCCAGCAAUGCCGCGUGUGUGAAGAAGGCCUUCGGGUUGUAAAGCACUUUUGUCCGGAAAGAACACAUUGGCCCUAAUCCGGUCGGGGGAUGACGGUACCGGAAGAGUAAGCCCCGGCUAACUACGUG